AUUUGAAAGCCUUUUUGGCAUUGUAUUCUGAAGUCAGUUUCCUGAGUAUCGAUGUUUAAGUCUCCUGGAAAGGAGCGCCAUAGAGGGUGACAGCCCCGUACGACAUCUCACUCAUUGUAGGAUUCUGACGUGGAGUCGAGUUGUUUGGGAAUGCAGCUCAAAAGGGUGGUAUGCUCCAUCUAAAGCUAAAUAUCUGUGAGAGACCGAUAGCGAACAAGUACUGUGAAGGAAAGAUGAAAAGAACUUUGAAAAGAGAGUGAAAUAGUACGUGAAAUUGUUGAAAUGGAAGGAUAGGCCGCUAACCAUGUAGAGCCGUGUUUGAGGGGAGGACAAAAGCUGAAGAAUGUGGCUCUUCGGAGUGUU
RNAcentral lists this ribosomal RNA (363 nucleotides) under Starmerella sp. RNAcentral describes it as "LSU rRNA". It matches the Rfam family "Eukaryotic large subunit ribosomal RNA", at positions 113 to 502 of the family's 3401-position model. The record is from RNAcentral. Lineage: Eukaryota; Fungi; Ascomycota; Dipodascomycetes; Dipodascales; Trichomonascaceae.